AGUUUGAUCCUGGCUCAGAACGAACGCUGGCGGCGUGCCUAACACAUGCAAGUCGAACGGAGUUAAAGGUGUAGCAAUACAUCUUUAACUCAGUGGCGAACGGGUGAGUAACACGUAGGUAACCUACCCUAAGGUGGGGGACAACUGAGGGAAACUUCAGCUAAUACCGCAUAAGACCACGGGCUGAAAUGCUUGUGGUAAAAGGAGCAAUCCGCCUUAGGAUGGGUCUGCGGCCUAUCAGGUAGUUGGUAGGGUAAUGGCCUACCAAGCCUAUGACGGGUAGCCGGUCUGAGAGGAUGGACGGCCACACUGGAACUGAGACACGGUCCAGACUCCUACGGGAGGCAGCAGUGGGGAAUAUUGGACAAUGGGCGAAAGCCUGAUCCAGCGACGCCGCGUGGAGGACGAAGGCCUUCGGGUUGUAAACUCCUUUUGUAGGGGACAAUAAUGAUGGUACCCUACGAAUAAGCCACGGCUAACUCUGUGCCAGCAGCCGCGGUAAGACAGAGGUGGCUAGCGUUGUUCGGAAUUACUGGGCUUAAAGGGCGCGUAGGCGGUAAUGUAAGUCUGAGGUGGAAUCCUUUGGCUUAACCAAAGGACUGCCUUGGAAACUGCAUUACUUGAGUCAGAUAGGGGAAGGCGGAAUUCCUGGUGUAGCAGUGAAAUGCGUAGAUAUCAGGAGGAAGGCCUGUGGUGAAGACGGCCUUCUGGGUCUUGACUAACGCUGAGGCGCGAAAGCGUGGGGAGCAAACAGGAUUAGAUACCCUGGUAGUCCACGCCCUAAACGGUGGGCACUCGGUGUGGGAUCCGCAAGGNUUCUGUGCCUUAGGGAAACCGUUAAGUGCCCCGCCUGGGAAGUACGGCCGCAGGUUGAAACUCAAAGGAAUUGACGGGGGCCCGC
Molecule: ribosomal RNA, 901 nt
Filed under: uncultured bacterium
Lineage: Bacteria
Description: bacterial SSU rRNA
Rfam family: Bacterial small subunit ribosomal RNA
Source: RNAcentral